GACGAACGCUGGCGGCGUGCUUAACACAUGCAAGUCGAGCGGUAAGGCCCUUUCGGGGGUACACGAGCGGCGAACGGGUGAGUAACACGUGGGUGACCUGCCCUCAGCUCUGGGAUAAGCCCGGGAAACUGGGUCUAAUACCGGAUAUGACUUCAUGACGCAUGUUGUGGAGUGGAAAGCCUUGUGCGGCUGAGGAUGGGCCCGCGGCCUAUCAGCUUGUUGGUGGGGUGANGGCCUACCAGGGGCGACGACGGGUAGCCGGCCUGAGAGGGCGACCGGCCACACUGGGACUGAGAUACGGCCCAGACUCCUACGGGAGGCAGCAGUGGGGAAUCUUGCGC
This 341-nucleotide ribosomal RNA is filed under the name uncultured bacterium. RNAcentral describes it as "bacterial SSU rRNA". It matches the Rfam family "Bacterial small subunit ribosomal RNA", at positions 28 to 369 of the family's 1533-position model. The record is from RNAcentral.